UCCCUGGUGGUCCAGUGGUUAGGGUUCUGCACUCUCACUGCCGAGGGCCCAGGUUCGACCCCUGGUUGGGGAA
This is a non-coding RNA of Orcinus orca (killer whale), 73 nucleotides long. Lineage: Eukaryota; Metazoa; Chordata; Mammalia; Artiodactyla; Delphinidae. The record is from the annotation of a RefSeq genome assembly.